CCAGACUCCUGCGGGAGGCAGCAGUGGGGAAUAUUGCACAAUGGGGGGAACCCUGAUGCAGCGACGCCGCGUGGGUGAAGGAGUAUUUCGGUAUGUAAAGCCCUAUCAGCAGGGAAGAAAAUGACGGUACCUGACUAAGAAGCCCCGGCUAACUACGUGCCAGCAGCCGCGGUAAUACGUAGGGGGCAAGCGUUAUCCGGAUUUACUGGGUGUAAAGGGAGCGUAGACGGUUAUGCAAGUCUGAAGUGAAAGCCCAAGGCUCAACCAUGGGACUGCUUUGGAAACUGUAAGACUGGAGUGCAGGAGAGGUAAGCGGAAUUCCUAGUGUAGCGGUGAAAUGCGUAGAUAUUAGGAGGAACACCAG
This 364-nucleotide ribosomal RNA is filed under the name uncultured bacterium. RNAcentral describes it as "bacterial SSU rRNA". It matches the Rfam family "Bacterial small subunit ribosomal RNA", at positions 331 to 712 of the family's 1533-position model. The record is from RNAcentral.